RNAcentral lists this transfer RNA (68 nucleotides) under Heterocephalus glaber (naked mole-rat). It matches the Rfam family "tRNA". From Rfam's summary of the family: Transfer RNA (tRNA) molecules are approximately 80 nucleotides in length. Their secondary structure includes four short double-helical elements and three loops (D, anti-codon, and T loops). The record is from Rfam by way of RNAcentral. Lineage: Eukaryota; Metazoa; Chordata; Mammalia; Rodentia; Bathyergidae.
GGGAAUGUAGCUCAGUGGUAGAGCCUUUACUUAACAUGAAUAGGUCCUGGAUUCAAUUUCCAGCACCA